AAGUUAGGCUAAUGUAAAGGAUAAUAGUCAUUUUUUCUUUUUUUUUAUAAUAUAUAUAAUAUAUUUUAUAUAAAGAAAAAAAAAAGAAAUUAUAGAGUUAUACUAGUAUUUGUUUG
Molecule: non-coding RNA, 116 nt
Filed under: Stygamoeba regulata
Lineage: Eukaryota; Discosea; Stygamoebida
Source: RNAcentral